GGGCGAUUGGCUCAGUGGUAGAGCGCUCGCUUCACACGCGAGAGGUCACUGGUUCGAACCCAGUAUCGCCCACUA
Molecule: transfer RNA, 75 nt
Filed under: Micrococcales bacterium
Lineage: Bacteria; Bacillati; Actinomycetota; Actinomycetes; Micrococcales
Description: tRNA-Val
Rfam family: tRNA
About the family: Transfer RNA (tRNA) molecules are approximately 80 nucleotides in length. Their secondary structure includes four short double-helical elements and three loops (D, anti-codon, and T loops).
Source: RNAcentral